Molecule: ribosomal RNA, 124 nt
Filed under: uncultured bacterium
Lineage: Bacteria
Description: partial 16S ribosomal RNA
Source: RNAcentral
CGACGGCCGCGUAGGGGGAUGUAAGGCUUCUACCGGUAGUCGGUAAAACCCCUUUACGACCCGGACCGAAUGAACCCGCAAGGGUUGACGGUACGGGUAUAAGAAGCCCCGGCUAACUACGUGC